RNAcentral lists this ribosomal RNA (484 nucleotides) under uncultured bacterium. Its description in RNAcentral is "partial 16S ribosomal RNA". It matches the Rfam family "Bacterial small subunit ribosomal RNA", at positions 28 to 507 of the family's 1533-position model. The record is from RNAcentral.
GACGAACGCUGGCGGCGUGCUUAACACAUGCAAGUCGAACGGAAAGGCCCUGCUUGCAGGGUACUCGAGUGGCGAACGGGUGAGUAACACGUGGGUGAUCUGCCCUGCACUUCGGGAUAAGCCUGGGAAACUGGGUCUAAUACCGGAAAGGAGCCAGUGUGAGUGUGAUGGUUGGAAAGUUUUUUCGCUGUAGGAUGAGCUCGCGGCCUAUCAGCUUGUUGGUGGGGUAAUGGCCUACCAAGGCGGCGACGCGUAACUGGCCUGAGAGGGUGGACGGCCACGAUGGAAAUGAGAGACGGUCCAGAGGCCUACGGGAGGCAGCGGUGGGGCAUAUUGGAGGAUGGGCGAAAGCCGGAUCCAGCCAUGCCGCGUGUGUGAAGAAGGUCUUCGGAUUGGAAAGCACGUUAAGGUGGGAGGAAGGGCAGUAAGUUAAUACCGUGCUGUUGUGACGUUACCAACAGAAUAAGCACCGGCUAACUUCGUG